This 324-nucleotide ribosomal RNA is filed under the name Triticum aestivum (bread wheat). RNAcentral describes it as "partial small subunit ribosomal RNA". The record is from RNAcentral. Lineage: Eukaryota; Viridiplantae; Streptophyta; Magnoliopsida; Poales; Poaceae.
UGUUUCUUAUUCAGGCGCCGUGAUAAGAAAGAAGCUGGAUAUGCAGCAUUUGUUGCAAAGGGUUGGUCAGGCUGGAACAAAAAACAUAGACUAAAUGAUCAUGUCGGAGAUGUCAACAGUGUUCACAACCAAGCAAAAAGAGAUUGUGAUGCUUUAUUGCAACAAGACCAGCACAUUUAUGUUGCUUUCAAUAAUCAAAGCAAUGCUGCGAAGAAGGCGCAUUAUACUAGACUAAAUGCCUCAAUUGAUGUUACUAGAGUUCUAUUGCAGCAAGGGUUACCUUUUCGCGGCCAUGAUGAGUCAGAGGAGUCCUUGAAUAAAGGA